This 503-nucleotide antisense RNA is filed under the name Streptomyces sp. CB01249. RNAcentral's name for it is "Saccharopolyspora sRNA 350". It matches the Rfam family "Saccharopolyspora sRNA 350". The record is from Rfam by way of RNAcentral. Lineage: Bacteria; Bacillati; Actinomycetota; Actinomycetes; Kitasatosporales; Streptomycetaceae.
CGGGCCGUGUACUCCCAGACGGCGUCGCCCUCGAUGAGGGAGUGGUCCCCGAAAUAGGCCCCGUCCGCAUGGACCCCGAGCACCGUCUCGUCCCCGUAGGGCCCGGUGCCGACCUUCUCGACCUUGCCGUGCGCCAGCAGGUAGACGCGGUCCGCCGCCUCGCCCGCCGUGGCCAGGAGCUGCCCGGCGGGGAUCUCGCGCUGCUCGCACCUCCUGGCCAGCUCGGCGAGCGCCUCCUCGUCCUCGAAGUCCCUCAGCGCCGGGAGCUCACCCAGCUCGGCGGGGAUGACCGUGACCCGGUCCCCGGUCUGCACGAACGUGACCCGGCCGUCCCCGACCGAGUAGCUCAGCCGGCGGUUCACCCGGUACGUGCCGCCCUGCACCUGGACCCACGGCAGCAUCUUCAGCAGCCACCGUGAGGUGAUCUCCUGCAUCUGCGGAGCGGACUUGGUGGUCGUCGCGAGGUUCCGCGCGGCCGCCGUGCCGAGACUCUGCUGCGGCGG